CGCGGGAAUCUUACCGGGUCCGGACACACUGAGGAUUGACAGGUAUUAUUACGUAUUCACUUCGGUGAUACGUAUGUUAAAUAUGCUAGUCCUUUCAUGAUUAUGUGAUAGGUGGUGCAUGGCCGUUCUUAGUUCGUGGAGUGAUCUGUCUGCUUAAUUGCGUUUCACUAAAGGUCCAUUAUUUAACGUAUGUCGCGGCGCUUUGACCCCUCAUUAAUUUGAGCGUUGUGUCUUAGUUUUUGCUUAGCGCAUACAUUUGGACCUUGAAAGCAACGAACGUGACCGCAACCUCUUGUUGCCUUUAUACCAAAUGCGUCCACAUAAUUUUUAUUAUGUUGUGUCGCACAAAAAGGCCUUUUAAACUAGAGGGACCGCUGUUACUUUCUUAAACCAGAGGAAGGUUGCGGCAAUAACAGGUCUGUGAUGCCCUUAGAUGUUCCGGGCUGCACACGUGCUACAAUGAUUAUUGCAGUGAGCAUCUCAUUUUAUUACACACCGCAUGCGCGAGCCUAAUUAUUCACUUCGGUGCUUUAAUUAUGUGUCUCUGCGCGCGGUAAAGCCUGCUUCGAAAGUAAGUGGGUAAUCAAUUAGAAGUAAUGAUUUCCUUUUUUAUUCGCACACAUAUAUACGGCAUCUUUACCCGGCCUGCCUUGUUGCAGUGUUCCUGUGUGUAUUGAUGUUUUUUUCCGUAUGUGCAAUUGUCAAUUCAUGGUGGGGACAGACCAUUGUUAAUUGUUGGUCUCGGUCUUAACUAGGAAUGCCUUGUACGGGUCUUUGGUUCAACAAACCACCCGGAAUACGUCCCUGCCCUUUGUACACACCGCCCGUCGCUCUUACCGAUGGACUUCUCUGUGAGUUUGAGGGACUGGAUUUUUAUUUCUAUGGAAACUUAAACGAACAGUGUGGUCUAAAGGAAAGAGAAGUCGUAACAAGGCAUCGUA
This 941-nucleotide ribosomal RNA is filed under the name Pararotalia calcariformata. Its description in RNAcentral is "bacterial SSU rRNA". It matches the Rfam family "Eukaryotic small subunit ribosomal RNA", at positions 1204 to 1807 of the family's 1831-position model. Lineage: Eukaryota; Foraminifera; Rotaliida; Rotaliidae. The record is from RNAcentral.